UUUUUUUUUUCCCUCUAAUUCAUUGAAACCUCGAGAUUUAGUAACAUUUACUUGAGAUAAUUUCAGCCAAAUUAAAAUUGUGCAUACUUUCUUUCCCCUUCUGCUAAUUAAACUCGUACUGUUUACAAUGAUUUUGUUACAUUGAUAUGAAGCUAACUACUUUCCCCCCACUUUUGCUUGAACUUUUUGAUAGCGCGCCUGUGACAUGUGAUGCAUAGUGAGGAUUUCAAUAUGCCACUUAUGCAUGCUACAUAGCUUGCUGAAAAUGACAGAAUUUGGAUGUGAAAAAUAUUAAAAAGUGAUGCAUAUUGUAGAUUUUUAUUUGCUGUUUAAACAUAGUGUGCUGAAAAUGAAAGCAUUUGGCUUUUAGAAAUAUAAAAAAAUAAUAAAAAAUUUCUGCUUGAGUGCCUGCAAUUGUAAGAAUGUAUAGUGACGAGAAUGCUGCCUUCAAUGUAGAAUAUUUGUUUGUUGAGCUUAAUGUGUUAACAGUACUUGUUAGUGCUUUUUACAUCUAUAUUUUAUGAA
RNAcentral lists this unclassified non-coding RNA (525 nucleotides) under Hevea brasiliensis (rubber tree). The record is from RNAcentral. Lineage: Eukaryota; Viridiplantae; Streptophyta; Magnoliopsida; Malpighiales; Euphorbiaceae.